This 117-nucleotide small RNA is filed under the name Marmota monax (woodchuck). The record is from RNAcentral. Lineage: Eukaryota; Metazoa; Chordata; Mammalia; Rodentia; Sciuridae.
GCUGGGCACAGUGGCUUAUGCCUGUAAUCCCAGCUCUUUGGGAGACUGAGGCAGGAAGAUCACUUGAUCUCAGGAGUUCCAGGCCAAUCUGGGCAACAUAGCAAGAUCCUCUCUCAA